Molecule: ribosomal RNA, 484 nt
Filed under: uncultured bacterium
Lineage: Bacteria
Description: partial 16S ribosomal RNA
Rfam family: Bacterial small subunit ribosomal RNA
Source: RNAcentral
AGUGAACGCUGGCGGCAGGCCUAACACAUGCAAGUCGAGCGGCAGCGCGGGGGCAACCCUGGCGGCGAGCGGCGGACGGGUGAGGAAUUCGUCGGAAUCUACCUUUUUGUGGGGGAUAACGUAGGGAAACUUACGCUAAUACCGCAUACGUCCUACGGGAGAAAGUGGGGGACCGCAAGGCCUCACGCAGAAAGAUGAGCCGACGACCGAUUAGCUAGUUGGUGGGGUAAAGGCCCACCAAGGCGACGAUCGGUAGCUGGUCUGAGAGGAUGAUCAGCCACACUGGGACUGAGACACGGCCCAGACUCCUACGGGAGGCAGCAGUGGGGAAUAUUGGACAAUGGGCGCAAGCCUGAUCCAGCCAUGCCGCGUGUGUGAAGAAGGCCUUCGGGUUGUAAAGCACUUUUGUCCGGAAAGAAAUCCCUGGAGCUAAUACCUUCGGGGGAUGACGGUACCGGAAGAAUAAGCACCGGCUAACUUCGUG